AUUGAACGCUGGCGGCAUGCCUUACACAUGCAAGUCGAACGGCAGCGCGGGGCAACCUGGCGGCGAGUGGCGAACGGGUGAGUAACAUAUCGGAACAUACCCUAGAGUGGGGGAUAACGUAGCGAAAGUUACGCUAAUACCGCAUACGCACUAAGGUGGAAAGUGGGGGAUUCGCAAGAACCUCAUGCUCAUGGAGUGGCCGAUAUCUGAUUAGCUAGUUGGUGAGGUAAAGGCUCACCAAGGCGACGAUCAGUAGCUGGUUUGAGAGAACGACCAGCCACACUGGAACUGAGACACGGUCCAGACUCCUACGGGAGGCAGCAGUGGGGAAUUUUGGACAAUGGGGGCAACCCUGAUCCAGCAAUGCCGCGUGAGUGAAGAAGGCCUUCGGGUUG
Molecule: ribosomal RNA, 395 nt
Filed under: uncultured bacterium
Lineage: Bacteria
Description: bacterial SSU rRNA
Rfam family: Bacterial small subunit ribosomal RNA
Source: RNAcentral